AAGUCGUAACAAGGUUUCCGUAGGUGAACCUGCGGAAGGAUCAUUAUCGAGUUUUGAACGGGUUGUAGCUGGCCUUUAACGAGGCAUGUGCACACCUGGCUCAUCCACUCUCAACCUCUGUGCACUUUAUGUAAGAAACGGUGUAAGCCAGCUAUUUCAUAGUUGGUAACAAGCCUUUCUUAUGUUUACUACAAACGCUUCAGUUAUAGAAUGUUUACUGUGUAUAACACAAUUAUAUACAACUUUCAGCAACGGAUCUCUUGGCUCUC
RNAcentral lists this unclassified non-coding RNA (269 nucleotides) under Irpex laceratus. RNAcentral describes it as "Emmia lacerata partial internal transcribed spacer region". The stretch from base 1 to 46 matches the Rfam family "Eukaryotic small subunit ribosomal RNA", at positions 1786 to 1831 of the family's 1831-position model. The record is from RNAcentral. Lineage: Eukaryota; Fungi; Basidiomycota; Agaricomycetes; Polyporales; Irpicaceae.